RNAcentral lists this ribosomal RNA (253 nucleotides) under uncultured bacterium. RNAcentral's name for it is "partial 16S ribosomal RNA". It matches the Rfam family "Bacterial small subunit ribosomal RNA", at positions 524 to 776 of the family's 1533-position model. The record is from RNAcentral.
UAAGAAGGGUGCAAGCGUUGUUCGGAAUUACUGGGCGUAAAGCGCGCGUAGGAGGACUUUUAAGUCAGGGGUGAAAUCCCAGGGCUCAACCCCGGAACUGACUUUGAUACUGGGAAUCUGGAGUCCGGGAGAGGUGAGCGGAAUACCGAGUGUAGAGGUGAAAUCCGCAGAUAUUCGGUGGAACACCAGUGGCGAAGGCGGCUCACUGUACCGGCACUGACGAUGAGGCGCGAAAGAGUGGGGAGCAAACAGG